RNAcentral lists this ribosomal RNA (460 nucleotides) under uncultured bacterium. RNAcentral describes it as "partial 16S ribosomal RNA". It matches the Rfam family "Bacterial small subunit ribosomal RNA", at positions 338 to 795 of the family's 1533-position model. The record is from RNAcentral.
CCUACGGGUGGCAGCAGUGAGGAAUAUUGGUCAAUGGACGCAAGUCUGAACCAGCCAUGCCGCGUGCAGGAAGACGGCUCUAUGAGUUGUAAACUGCUUUUGUACGAGGGUAAACGCAGAUACGCGUAUCUGUCUGAAAGUAUCGUACGAAUAAGGAUCGGCUAACGCCGUGCAAGCAGCCGCGGUAAUACGGAGGGUUCAAGCGUUUUCCGGAUUUAUUGGGUUUAAAGGGUGCGGAGGCGGACGGAUAAGUUAGAGGUGAAAUCCCGGGGCUCAACUUCGGAAUUGCCUCUGAUACUGUUCGUCUAGAGAGUAGUUGAGGUAGGCGGAAUGUAUGGUGUAGCGGUGAAAUGCUUAGAGAUCAGACAGAACACCGAUUGCGAAGGCAGCUUACCAAGCUACUUCUGACGUUGAAGCACGAAGGCGUGGGUAUCGAACAGGAUUAGAUACCCUAGUAGUC